CAGUCGCCGCGGUAAUACGUAGGUGGCAAGCGUUGUCCGGAAUUAUUGGGCGUAAAGGGCUCGCGGGCGGUUUCUUAAGUCUGAUGUGAAAGCCCCCGGCUCAACCGGGGAGGGUCAUUGGAAACUGGGAAACUUGAGUGCAGAAGAGGAGAGUGGAAUUCCACGUGUAGCGGUGAAAUGCGUAGAGAUGUGGAGGAACACCAGUGGCGAAGGCGACUCUCUGGUCUGUAACUGACGCUGAGGAGCGAAAGCGUGGGGAGCGAACAGGAUUAGAUACCCCCGUAGUCCCUGUCUCUUAUAC
This 301-nucleotide ribosomal RNA is filed under the name uncultured bacterium. RNAcentral's name for it is "partial 16S ribosomal RNA". It matches the Rfam family "Bacterial small subunit ribosomal RNA", at positions 509 to 807 of the family's 1533-position model. The record is from RNAcentral.